CAGUGAUAAACUGGAGGAAGGUGGGGAUGACGUCAAGUCAUCAUGGCCCUUACGACCAGGGCUACACACGUGCUACAAUGGCGCAUACAAAGAGAAGCGACCUCGCGAGAGCAAGCGGACCUCAUAAAGUGCGUCGUAGUCCGGAUUGGAGUCUGCAACUCGACUCCAUGAAGUCGGAAUCGCUAGUAAUCGUGGAUCAGAAUGCCACGGUGAAUACGUUCCCGGGCCUUGUACACACCGCCCGUCACACCAUGGGAGUGGGUUGCAAAAGAAGUAGGUAGCUUAACCUUCGGGAGGGCGCUUACCACUUUGUGAUUCAUGACUGGGGUGAAGUCGUAACAAGGUAACCGUAGGGG
RNAcentral lists this ribosomal RNA (356 nucleotides) under Salmonella enterica. RNAcentral describes it as "bacterial SSU rRNA". It matches the Rfam family "Bacterial small subunit ribosomal RNA", at positions 1153 to 1508 of the family's 1533-position model. RNAcentral also lists the same sequence under 2 other names. The record is from RNAcentral. Lineage: Bacteria; Pseudomonadati; Pseudomonadota; Gammaproteobacteria; Enterobacterales; Enterobacteriaceae.